AACGUAGGGACACAAGCGUUAUCCGGAGUUACUGGGCGUAAAGGGCUCGUAGGCGGCCAACUAAGUCAGACGUGAAAUCCCUCGGCUUAACCGGGGAACUGCGUCUGAUACUGGAUGGCUUGAAUCCGGGAGAGGGAUGCGGAAUUCCAGGUGUAGCGGUAGAAAUGCGUAGAUAUCAUCUGGAACGCCAACGGUGAAAACAGCUCGCUGGGGGUGUGCUGACGCUGAGACACGAAAGCCAGGGGAGGCAAACGGGAUUA
This 260-nucleotide ribosomal RNA is filed under the name uncultured bacterium. Its description in RNAcentral is "partial 16S ribosomal RNA". It matches the Rfam family "Bacterial small subunit ribosomal RNA", at positions 524 to 780 of the family's 1533-position model. The record is from RNAcentral.